AUUUGUCUGGUUAAUUCCGAUAACGAACGAGACCUUAACCUGCUAACUAGUUUCAAUUACCUUGUAAUUGUUAACUUCUUAGAGGGACUAUGUGAAACAACUACAUGGAAGUUUGAGGCAAUAACAGGUCUGUGAUGCCCUUAUAUGUCCUGGGCUGCACGCGUGCUACACUGAUGCAUACAACAAGUGCCUAGCCAGUCAUGGUAUGGCAAUCUCGAAUAUGCAUCGUGAUGGGGAUAGAUCUUUGCAAUUAUAGAUCUUGAACGAGGAAUUCCUAGUAAGUGCAAGUCAUCAUCUUGCAUUGAUUAUGUCCCCGCCCUUUGUACACACCGCCCGUCGCUCCUACCGAUACCGGGUGAUCCGGUGAACCUUUUGGACCUUUACAGGAAAUUGAAGUAAACCAUAUCACCUAGAGGAAGGAGAAGUCGUAACAAGGUUUCCGUAGGUGAACCUGCRGAAGGAUCA
This 465-nucleotide ribosomal RNA is filed under the name uncultured ciliate. RNAcentral describes it as "SSU rRNA". It matches the Rfam family "Eukaryotic small subunit ribosomal RNA". Lineage: Eukaryota; Ciliophora. The record is from RNAcentral.